GACGAACGCUGGCGGCGUGCUUAACACAUGCAAGUCGAACGAUGAAGGGGAGCUUGCUUCCUGGAUUAGUGGCGAACGGGUGAGUAACACGUGAGUAACCUGCCCUGGACUCUGGGAUAACUCCGAGAAAUCGGUGCUAAUACCGGAUAGGACCUGGAACCGCAUGGUUUUGGGUGGAAAGUUUUUCGGUCUGGGAUGGA
Molecule: ribosomal RNA, 200 nt
Filed under: uncultured bacterium
Lineage: Bacteria
Description: partial 16S ribosomal RNA
Rfam family: Bacterial small subunit ribosomal RNA
Source: RNAcentral